RNAcentral lists this transfer RNA (72 nucleotides) under Diaphorina citri (Asian citrus psyllid). RNAcentral's name for it is "tRNA-Thr". It matches the Rfam family "tRNA". From Rfam's summary of the family: Transfer RNA (tRNA) molecules are approximately 80 nucleotides in length. Lineage: Eukaryota; Metazoa; Arthropoda; Insecta; Hemiptera; Psyllidae. The record is from Rfam by way of RNAcentral.
GCCUCUUUAGCUCAGUGGUAGAGCACUGGUCUCGUAAACCAGGGGCCGUGAGUUCAAACCUCACAGGAGGCA